This 1608-nucleotide long non-coding RNA is filed under the name Sorghum bicolor (sorghum). RNAcentral describes it as "long non-coding RNA (SBIC_LNC008539)". Lineage: Eukaryota; Viridiplantae; Streptophyta; Magnoliopsida; Poales; Poaceae. The record is from RNAcentral.
CUCUUGAUGAUUCUGAUGUUGGCUUUGUCAAAUAAUGUCUUGAAUUUGUUGUUCCUGCAUAAACAAGCUAAGAGUACAAGUGGAACUAGUUAUGGAUAAAAUAUGUUCAUGUCAUGUCGUUUCCCCUUGCAACCGAGGCAUGUUGACGGUGUUUUGUAUGUGGAUUUCUAUGGUAUAUCCACCGUCAACAAGAUCCCCCAAGCUUAACCUUUGCUCGUCCCGAGCAAACAAUCAAACUUAGCCUUGGUGGAUCAGGUAUUGUUACUAUGUUCACAUUUCAAGAGUACCAUGUGUACAACAAAGUUCUUCUCUUUGCAUGAAAAAUUUAGCUAUGUAAACUUACCCCUAUUAUCUUAGUCCCUUAUGGGGCUUAUGGCUUUUCCUUUGUCUUAGGUGGUUGAGAGACAGAACAGUUUGACUUGAGCACUAACUUUCUCAUUCUUAGCAAGUUUCAUAUCAGAGGUUUUGUGAUAUUUUCAAAAGAAAGCUUAAAUGUUCCUCUUAUGGUUCUCUCAUGUCACUCAAAUGGUGUAUGAUUCCUCACCAAGGCAUAUGGUAAGAGUUGCCUUCUCUAUUUCAUCCUAUUUCUAAAAGGCUUAUGUGGAGUUCAAGGUAGGGAUGAAAGGAGAUAGCAUACUUACUUUGCAUGUAUUGCGAAGUCAAAGCUCGGAUCCUUGAAGAGAAGUGUCAUACUGCCAGAUCAAGAUGUGCAAGUGUGAUAUAUGGUGGACUAGGUUGCUCCUUUAUUUGAUAGACUCUCUAUGUAUUGAGACAUGGCUAGCAUUUUUUUUCUUCUCUUUUUUUUUAUAUAUAUGAGCUUUCAUGUGCUCAAUUUUCUUUUUCUGUGGACUUGCACAUGUCCAUCUUUUUAUUUCAUUUUGCCUAGCCUUUUGAUGUCUCAUUUACCAAAUAAUGCUUAGAGAGAUGUUCUAACAUUUAGAGUAUGGAGCAACCUAUUUAGUGGAUGCGAAAUACAUGUGGUUGCGUACUUCCAGUGUAGAAGCAGCAUAUAUAUAUGUGGUGUGUACGUGAUCUUGAUCUUAGGAGCAUGAAAAGUCUCUUAACAAGGGUCAACAAGACUUGACGACACUCAACACAAAGCAAAUAGCUUAUGUGGAAAGGUUGCAAUUAUGUAAAGUAGAUAUGGCUGUGGUAGGAAUUCAUCACCAUUGAGGAACAAUUAAGGUUUUAAUCAUUUUAAGAAUAAAUCUCUGAUAAUCAUGCAUGCUUAGAAAAACAUUAUAGUAGCUCUUGUCUUACUAUCUCAUGUCCCACAACAACUUAGACUUAGUUCUAGCACUUGCAACCCACAAAGUUUUUAGGUUCAUGGCAGUUUAAGUGAGCUAAGUGAUCCAUACUUAGAGAAAUACUAAGUUGUAUACUAGGCACUAGAGAAACAUUAACAAGCAACUAGUCAUAAUUUCCAUGAGGGAUAUAAACAUACAUGAAGCAUAUAUGCUAAAGGGAAAUGCUAAUAAAUAUUUAUUUUUUUUUAAGUAAGAAUGAUAAAAUGCAUGAAAAUAAAUAGGAUAGAAUACUUACCUUAGUGGGGGAGAGGAUCUCCCCCAAGCUAGAUCUUCGCUCACUAUGGUGGCGGGAAAUUUUGGU